This 775-nucleotide ribosomal RNA is filed under the name uncultured Neocallimastigales. Its description in RNAcentral is "partial large subunit ribosomal RNA". It matches the Rfam family "Eukaryotic large subunit ribosomal RNA", at positions 26 to 643 of the family's 3401-position model. The record is from RNAcentral. Lineage: Eukaryota; Fungi; Neocallimastigomycota; Neocallimastigomycetes; Neocallimastigales.
CGCAUCUGUGCAUGCAGCAUAUCAAUAAGCGGAGGAAAAGAAACUAACAAGGAUUCCCUUAGUAACGGCGAGUGAAGCGGGAAGAGCUCAAAUUUGAAAUCUUCAAGGUUUUACCUUGACGAAUUGUAGUUUAAAGAAGUGUUUUCUGUUGAAGUUUUGGUAAAAGUUCUUUGGAAUAGGACAUCAUAGAGGGUGAGAAUCCCGUAUUUGACCAUUAUUUUCAGCUGUGUGAUACACUUUUCAAAGAGUCGGAUUGUUUGGGAAUGCAGUCCAAAAUGGGUGGUAAAUUUCAUCUAAAGCUAAAUAUUGGCGAGAGACUGAUAGCGAACAAGUACCGUGAGGGAAAGAUGAAAAGAACUUUGAAAAGAGAGUUAAACAGUACGUGAAAUUGUCAAAAGGGAAGCGUUUGACACCAGUGUUGUUUUCUCGAAAAUCAAUUAAAAAGAGUUUGAUUUUGUUGUGUAUUGACCUUAACAGCUUGCAUUUCAAUUUUCUUGCUUUUUUUAAUGCACUUUUCGUUUAACAAGUCAACAUCAGUUUCUUUUGUUGUAAAAAGGUCAUUGGAAGGUGGCUUUCUUUUCGGAGAAAGUGUUUAUAGCCUUUGACUCCUGCAAUCGGAGAGACUGAGGUCUGCAGCGUAGAUCCUUCGGGGUUAGAUACAUUUGUGCUAAGUUAUAGCUUUUUAUAGACAACUUGUUGACUAUGAUUAGUCUUGUAGCUUACUCGCUUAUGCUAUUUUACCUACGCUUAGGAUGUUGACACACGCGCGUGCUCG